CCUAUGCAGGGGGUCGGACUCGAUGAUCUAUUGAGGUCCCUUCCGACCCUAAGAUCUAUGGAUCUAUGAGGAGGGUAGUAAGCACUGAAACAGGCUACCUAGAGAAGUGGUGGACUCUCCAUCCUUGGAGAUUUUUAAGACCUGUAUAGACAAAGUUUUGGCUGGGAUGAUCUAAGUGGGGAUGGUCUUGCUUUGAGCAGGGGGUUGGGCUAGACAUCCUCCUGAGAUCUCUUACAACCCUCAUUUUCUUUGAUUUUCUAUGAUAAACCAGGUUAGACUUGUUCCAGAAAGGAUACAGCAACAGGUAUCAUCACUUCUAAUUGUAAAUUUGGAAGAACCACAGGUGCUUGCUCUGACCAACUGUUAAUAACAAUUUUAUUCCUAGGGCUACUGCUAAUUACAAAACAAGCUGAUCUAAUUAUAAACUAGAUAAGAUGUAUUUAACAGAUAUAGGUAAUUUGAAAACUAUAGCAGUUAUUACAGAUCUCAAGCACUCAACGAAACACUUCAAAUAUUUUCCCCAACUUGGUUUACUAAAUUACAUUUUCUCUUUCUUUUGCUUUUAGUGGACUUUUCAAAUGAUCUCUGCUAGUUGUCUGAAUGCUUCCUACUCUUCAUAAAAAUUCAUAGCAUCCCAAUUCACUUUGAGCAGCUGACAGCUCUCAUUUGAUUUUUAGCUCUUCCUUUAUAACUGGAGGUUUCUGAUUUUGUUGUUGUUGUUCAUUCGCUUGCUCAUAUGGUCAUAGCAUAUGGGCAGCAACUCUGUGACUAAGAAAAUCAGUCAGUAGGAGGAGACAUGGUCAGGCAGAGUAGACAAAACUAGAGAGAGAGGUUCAUCUUAAAAAGGAUAAAAGAAUUUCCUCAAGAGAGAAUAUUUCAUAUCUUUAAAUAUUAAAAUAAUUAUUAAAGCAAAGCUUGUAAUAGUAUCAUUUGGUGAUGCCAGCUAAUAUUGCAGUAUUCAUGUUAACAGAAGUGCAAAAGAUCUGAGAAAGCUAGGACUCCCAGAGAAAGUGCUCAGAUUUUAAAUAACAGGGUAAUAGGGAUCAAUAUUAAAUCAUGUGCUGUAGACAAAUAGGAGCUUUAGUCAUGAAAAAUUAAACAGGAUUCACAGAAACAUAGACAACUCAUUAGUGUUUGUUGUGUGCAGCCUUUAUAUUCGUAGUAUGAUAAAGGGGCUGUCAGAUACACUUAUUGAACCUGCAUGAAAUCAUGGUUAAGCAGUGUUGUUAUCCAGUCCUGGUAUACCCAUCAGACUGAUACCCAGUGUUGUUAUCCAGUCUGAUACCCAUCAGACUCUCAGUAGCUUUUUUGAAGUAGGGCUAUCUAACACUACAACUGUGAACAGUGUCAGUCCAUUCCGGCUGUGCUCUGAUGUCAGUGUUCAAUAGCCCUAUUUCUGCAAACCGUAGCCCAUCGGUGGAUUGCUGACAUGGGCUGUAAUAAAAUCUUGGUAAUAAGAUGAUGCUAAUGGCGAUACAUUUUCACUUUCCACAGUUGCCCAUUUAGGGAUGCUGGAAAAACUAUAGGCAACCUUUUUAGAAAACACAGAAAUAGGAUUGGCUAGGGUUUUAACCUAUCACCUGUGAUUUUGCUGCCACGAAAGCAGCCUUGUCACAAAUGUAUUAACCUAUAUUUCAACCAGCUUACAACAUAAUAGGUAAACUAAUACCAUUAUCCCUGACAUCCAUGCAAGCUAUCAUGGUAGGCAAUGAGACAGACGAAAUUACACAAAGGGAUGGUAAGGCAUAUUUUAAAGGACAUCUCAGCAUGCAGGCUUAGCCACUGGCUUUAUGAUUUCAGUGAACAGGAACUGAUGCAGUUCUGCAUACUGGGACAGAGAACUUUACCAAUGGAAAUAGUAGACUUGAGGUUGCUGUCAGCACUCACAGUUGUUUUUUACAUUACCACACUGAUAUUUCACUAUAUUUAACUUAAAAAAUGAAGUCAGUAUAAUGUAACCUGGUAAGCUACAUUGCCAAGGCAUGUUUCUCUGCCGCAGAGUAAUCAUUUUUAUUGGCCAUGCAUUCUUGUCUCAUGAAUGUAGUCAGUCUGCAUUCAGAGGUAGGGAUGUGCACGUGUGUGUUUAUGUGCAGCUGGCACUCACUGUGCGGACUUCACUCACUGGGAGAAUUAGGAAGAACGCUACAGUUAAUUACCUGAAUGUAUAUAAUAGUAAUAAUGGCUCUGGUGCAUAUUUUUUCUCCAUCCCCUUUUCAGCAGAGUAGCAUAUUAUUUGAUGUGCUAUGAUUGCAAGCUGUGGCCCGCAGUGAUUUGUUAUUCUACAGUACUCCUUAAUUUUUGGUAGGACCUGGCACCUAAUAGCAGCCAGGAUAUGUUAAAAUACUGUUGGCAGCUGUCAACCAGCUGUCACCAUUAUGCUUGCAAUACUAAUCACAAUACCUACAUGGUCACUGGUGCUAGCAUGUGGUCUACCACUGGAUAAAUCUCUUUUGUCAGAGAAUAUAAUAUGUUCUGGAAAUACUGUGGUCACUGUCCUGAAGAGCAUUAUACUUUGGAUUCACAGGAGCUGGGAAACUUCACUCAGGAUAAUCUAUGAACCUAGAUGUGAUUCUGGGCAGUACCUUGACCCAUGAAUGCAACUGAAAAUAUACUUAGGAAAUUCAUUAGAAUAUUAAUAGUAAUAGAAAAAUACCAGCAGGAAGUUCCAUUCCACUUCAAUUCUGAUAUCUCAUUGACAUUCCACUGUUUAACAGAUGAAUUCCAAUGGAAAUAUUCCUUGUUUACACAAUUUUAAGUUACUGACAUAUUAACAUGUUUUAUUCACAAACAUUGCUAUGAAUGUGAAAAUAUUUACUAUUAUGCUCUGUAAUAUACUGUGCAAGCUGCAUUUCUGCAUGAUUUAAAUCAUUGCUAAUGUAUCAAAAAUGUCAUGGCAACUGCAGCCUAAGUCACUAGCAUUCAAUUAGCUCAGCCCUAUGAGUAGACUGGAUUUAUUUGAAGCGUUUAAUAGAUUAUAUAAAAGUAAGGAGAUUUAGAAAAUAAGCAUUGACAAUGAAUUCAGACCAGUGGUGUUUCUAGUCCAUUUAUCUUGUCUUUGUGGGGGGGGGCAGACCCAGGCACAUAUGGGGAAGGUAUAAAACUCAUAUAAUUAACAACUGUUUCAAUAAUACACUUGUGUGGGAAGAUGCAGCUACUCACUAUUGUAAACUGAGUACAUAAACUUGUCAUAUCAUCACAUUAAAAUAGCUUGCUUUAUGCUGACUCUAAAAAUAUAAAAUUUCUAAAUGUUAAUACUAAUACUGAUUCUUUAAUGAUUCUAUCUUCUGUAGAAGAAAUCCAGUUUUGGGAUGGCCAUCAGUCAUCAACCAUUAAUCAUACCUAUGCUAGUUUAUCUCAAGUCCUGAUAUAUAGGCAGACAAGGUUCCUUGGGUGAAUUUGAUAUCUUUUAUUAGACCAACCUAAAUGGUUGGAGAAUAGUUAUUAAGCAAGCUUUCAUGCACUUACAAAAAUCAAUGCAAUUUAUUUAAUCACACAGACAAAAACAUUUGCAUUAAUGUCAUCAAGUGCUUUCUGACAAUUUCUGUGUAAAAGCUGCGGUAUAUGAGGAUCCUUAGAAAACAUGACAUGAAAACACUUUUGCAGCAUGGAGCAAUAGUAUGGUUGUUUUUUUGAACGACUAUUGAAUUGGUUUGCAUUAACACAGUAUUUAGUUUAUUUUUUCUUUCUGAAUAAUGAUACCUGGAUAGUAGUAUUGAAUACAACACUGGAACAAUAUUGGUGUGUGUUUUUGACUUUGCAGUUUGGUCCUGUUAUUUAUGAAUAUACUUGUUUUGAAAUAAGUGAGAAGUAUCACAAGCAAACAAAUAGCAGUCUAUAGAUUAAGCUGUAAAACUGAUUCCAAUAAACAUAUUUGAUAUAGUGUAUGUGCAUUUGACCAUAUAUUCUAACCACCUCUGAAGCAUCAUGAAUAAACUCAAAUAUGUUUGAAUCAGCCUCAAGUAAUGAAUGGAGCUUGUUCUACUGGAUGUGUAGUUCUUAUACCAUAAUAAAAUGUAUAUUCAUGUAUAGUGUGACACCCUCUGUAAAACAGCAUGCUAGAUUUAUAACAUUUCCUUACACACCCCUCCCAACAUCCCUUCUAACCUCUCCACACUCAAUAAUCCCCCUUCUCUUCAUGCAGUUUAAUUGGAGUCAGAACUUCUGAUAUGACCAAGGACAACACCUGGCAAGAUUGGGAUGGAAAUAUAAAGGUGGUAUGAAGUUCACUUUUUUGAGCUUGUGCCCUGUACUGUCAGCAGGAUCUUUUGUAUUGUUUCUUCUGCAUCCAGAUUUACUUCUGUAUGGAGGAAUGUUCAUAUCAGUUCAACACUGAUGCAAUUCAGGUUGCAUAAAGCAGUCAUCUUGCCCUGGAGGAUCCAGUUGGAUAUAUAUACACCGGCACAAUGGGUGACAUUCAGGGAUCACUAUUUACUGGUUUAGUUAGCACAGUUUAGUAAGAUAUGAGAGUUUCACCUUAUUAAUCAGCAUAAGAAUUCAAUACAGCAUGUGUGGUAUCUGUAAGCAACUGUGCCCACUGUUUCUGCAAGAUAACGUUUUAUAUAUCACAGACAUGGUGAAACUUUAUAGAAUGCAACUGCCUGUGCUGCUAUGCUUUUUUCCAUCCCAGUUUUUGUAUGCCUUCAGUUCUCCUUCCCUUUUAUUCUGUUUUCUUACUGUAUUUAUUUACCAUCCCCUUUUGAGUAAGAAACUUUAAAUCUUACUAAUAUACUAGAACUAUAUUUUUAAGGAUUGAUGUGCGCCUAAAGAUACUGGGAUUUUUAAAAGUGUCUAUAUCCUGAAUUCAUAUUAAUUUUAAUAGACAUUACAUAACUUGGUGCUUUCAAAAACGUCAUUAUAUGUCUGUCUGCAACUUUAGGCAUGUAAAUACCCAGCUCCUGGUUCAUUAACAUUGAAAUCCUGUUUUAAUCGUAAGAAGUUAUGUGAACAUGGGAAAAUGAGAACUGGCAUUUAUUGCUUACUAUUCCAUAGUACAGUUUCCAUUUUUUCUGGGUGGUUUUAUGCUAUUUAGGGCUUGUAUAUCAAACUCUCUCUCUUUUUUUUUUUCUACUGCAGAUAUUUGGUAAGAGAAGCACAACCUGUACACUUCAUCUGCCUUGAAAUGAGUCUGAAUUUUAAAAAGUCUAAAGAGAUUAAAACAAUUGUACAUGCUGGAUUUUUCUGAAGUUUAAUACUAUGUUGUGAAUGACUAAAUAGUAUUUAUUUACUACAUCUAUCAAUUUCAUUUUUAAUUCUAACUUCUUGUAUUACAGAACAAUAACACUUAAAUGUGACUAAAUUAGCAGAAGAUUGGCAAUUGGAGCAAUCUAUGGUUUUUCCUACCACAUGGAAUAGAUUGGAGAUGAAAUGAAUAUGAUUAAGCAAGCAUAAGGAAGUAACUGUUGUUAUUAGAUGCUUUAUUUGGAUGCUUUAUUUGUAUCUAUCAUCUUUCUGUGUGCUCUUUAUGCUAAAAUGUUUCUGCAGCGUACAUUCACCGUGGCUCAGUGAAAUGGAUGUUGCUCUUGAAGGAGGGACCCCUGAGUCCUAGUCUAAUCCCCUGCUUCCCAUGGGGCAGACACUUCUCCACUGUUUUUUCCAUUUGUUUUAUCCAAUGAAUAUGGUGCAGUGGCUCAGCUUCAAGAGGAAGCUUAGAAAAGGGGACUGGAUAUUGCCUGACAUGUGUUGGUUACAGUUAUAUAGUAGGUUAUAUCCCACUAUACUGUGAAGUCAAAGGGGGAUAAGGAACCUUGAAUCUGGAUCUCUAAUUUUGAGGUAAGUGCCCUAACAAUUUGGCUAUUGGAUUAAAGACUGGAAAUACACUUUUUUUUCCCCUCUUAUUUGUUGCCAGGCCAUAAUUUUGUGUCUCACUCUCAAGUAUGUAUGUGCAGAGUUCUAUACCUGCCCAGCAAAGUUGGCGCAUCCUGCACACACGGUAUGCAUCCCCUACCCAUGUAACUACCAUUUGGGUUAAUUUUUUUGAUAGCUAGUAAUUUUUCUUUCAAAUAUGGUUUCAGUUCAUGUAAGUUUGACCUAUAUUUCCUAAAUAAUUUUGGCUUUUUUUUGCAGAUAGUGACAAAACCCCAUUUAUUCAAUAUCUACAGAUGGUAGAGAUGAUGUCCUCCUUUUAAUCAGUAGCCCUUUAGUCAUUCAGUGCCCUCUCCCAGAGUGGAUAUGAUCAAACCUCAUUUACCUUGAAGGAGAAUGCCUGUCUAAUCACCAGAUGGAGAGAAAAUAGGUGUAGAAGUGUGAACAAAUUAAGGAAGGUGGAGAAAGGUGUGGUAAUGGAGAAGGUGCAACGCGUCCAAUUAUAGUGGCUUCUUCUAAAAAAUUGACUCAGAGCAGCGAUAGUGCCACAUCACCAAUUUCCAGCUCAUCCUGAUGCACCAGGGAAAUGCCUGUUCUUCUUCCGUCGUCUAGUAUCACUUGGCUAUGAGGAGCAUCAUGACCACCAAUCACCAGUUUCAGCAUUUAGGUAUGGACAUAGUACAUACAAUAAUAUUCUUUUGGUGUGCACUACUAGUAUAGCCACUCCUGUAUGAGCAACAAGAAAUUCACUUUGUCACUAACUUCUGCUUCAUGUGUUAGAGCACUGUAUUGGAUAUCCCAGGGAAGAUGGUACAGGUCUAGACUUUAGAAGAUGAUAAUGGUAGAAGAACUGUGAAGGUGCUGUUCCUAAAGCAGGACUGGCUAAAAUUGCCAUCUGUUUUACUUUAUGGCUGACUGGUGGCAACCAGUAUGAGAUGGAGAGGGAUGUUGGUUAAGCCAGUUUUCAUGAUUCAAUAUAACUCUUGCAGCGGUAUUCAAUACUCAGGGGGAUUCAACUAUGCCAUCUGGCCUGUGAGGGUGCCCACAUGUCUGAAAGUUUGGUGCCAGGAAAGUGGUGGAAAUUAACACCAUAACUGUUCCCCAGUGUCAAAUAUCUAAGCCCUGAGCACAAGGGCUCCGCACACAGGGAUUGGGCCACAGUAGGGCAGGUCGUUCACACAGGGAUUGGAACUGCAGACCAACUUGGCAUUGCUCAUCUGGUCCAUGGGGCCAAAAGGUUGGGCACCACUUCUCUACGGUAUUUCCGUUAGUGUGUGAUUUGAGCAACAUAAGCAUGGCAUGUCGUGCAGAUGAGUUCUGUCACUAUCAAUAUUGGCCCAGGCUACUAUAGUCUCCAGACCCCACUACCAACUCGCAUCUCUUCCUUGCUCUUUUAGCUUAUUUAUUUGGGUUUGCCCAUGGCAGCCUUAUAGCAACACAACUCAUUGGGAUAAUAUACUAUAAUCACUGACUCUUGCCUAACAGUUUCUUAGGACUCUAGGUUCCAGAAGUGUUUUACAAUUCAGGGCUUCUCAUUAGAGGCUAUUUGUUAUAUUCUUUUAAGGAUAUGUGAAAUUCCUUCUACAACACUAACCUCAACCAAGAUUUAUUAAAAACGGAAAGAAACCCAAAUUAAAACCAAAACAAACAAAAAACAGUUUGUUUAACAAAUCCAGAUUUACACUUCUGAUAAACCUAAACUAAAAUGUCCUUCUCAGUAUAGCUAUCCAGAGGGAGGAGUACAAAUAUUUUUCAUGUCUCAAGAGGUAUUUCCUUUCUCAUCAUUCUUCAUUCAGGCUGACAGCAUUGCCUUGACUAGAUAAUAACUAAUUGCUAUUUCCACUGAUGGACCUUCAGCUGAGUCACCUUGCAUGUCUAGCCCCUGUCUCCUUUGAUGGAGGGCAGUGAUCCACAUGCAGACCUUCCUAGACUCCUGGAUUUGGCACAAUCACGAGGAAAUUAUCCCAAACUACCUGAAAUUCCAAAGUGCAUCAUGAAACUUUGUGCUGAAAUUUAAGAAGGCCCAAAAUGGAAAUGCAGGAGAGACUGCAGAUUGCUUGUAAAGAACACAUUCAAGUAGUUUAGAUAUGAAAGGGAGAAGAGAGUUAGGGUAGCUGGAUAGAAUGUGGGAAAACAGGGGCUUGUUUGUUGGCUUCUUUUUAAUGAAAGAGUCUAAAGCAGGGGUGGGCGAAGUACAGCCCAUGGACUGGAUCUGGCCCACCAGGCCAUUCUAUCCAGCCUGCAGGACCCUUAAAAAGUGUAGAAAAUUAAUAUUUAUUUGCCCCUCAAAGAUGAAAGGAGCCAGUGUAGCAAAACCCCCAGUUUUUCUUUUUCUUUUUUUCUUUUAAACUGCAUUCCCUUCCCUUCCCCAACCAUUUCUGACUUUUUCUCUCCCUCUUUAUUCCCUAUAGAUAAGUGUAAGUGAGCCAAGACAUAGGAUAAGCUUCAGCAUUUUAUUUUGGUAGCAAGUUCUAUUUGUUUUGUUUUUUCUCCUUCUUUAUAUUGUAUAAUUAUUAUGUUUAUAUUGAUUUUUACUGUUCUAUAGUACUGUUUUACUGAUACUAUAUGAUUUAGGCCUACAUAUGCAAGUUAGCAUAUGUCAUGUCAAAUUUCCAUUUUGUCUGUCAAAUCUCCAUCUUGUCCCUAUGCCUCCAUCUUGUCCCUAUGCCUUGUUGUGUAACCUAUACCUACCCCUCCUAUGUAACUUGGUUCCUGAAUGAACGGGGAUGAAUAAGGGUGCUUGAGAGACAAAGGCAGUAGGUCUAAAAAUAGCUCCCUCUGAAUAGUUCCCUCCAUCAACACCAAUACCUGGACCAACGACCCAGCCCUUGGAACCACCCUCAGCAUUCAAGAAACAAAAGAUGAGGCAACCCACCAUUGUGCCAAGGCUGGACAUGCUCAGUAAGAACAUCUGGAAUCCCCUGGAACAGGACUGACCUUGCCUGGACAGGCCCUCCCCAUAGGAGAUCAGAGGUAGUCUGCCCCAUAAAAAGAGGUAGUGAAGACUGACUCCUUGGGACACCCUCUCCAUCUGGACCAGCACCAUGCCACACCACCUAUCCACCCAGAGGCCCUGCUGGUGACUUCCUUCUGGACAACACUUGCUGGACAAAGACCCAUUUCCAGCCUGGAUAGGUAGCUAUCACUGCCACCCUCUCUUCAACCAAGGACUUGGACUCUGCUUCUCUUCCCCACCUGGACUCCAACCCUUCCACUGAGUCUCUUUCUCCUGCUGCCAUUUUGAGUGCUUGUGUGUGUGUAUGUGGGAACCAAUAACUUCAUGGGGCUGUGUAGUGUGUUGUCUGUUUAAUAAACCUGUUAUUUUGAAACCUUGA
Molecule: long non-coding RNA, 9137 nt
Organism: Alligator mississippiensis (American alligator)
Lineage: Eukaryota; Metazoa; Chordata; Crocodylia; Alligatoridae
Exons: 2
Source: RefSeq, a predicted model, not a curated record